Molecule: microRNA, 20 nt
Filed under: Corchorus olitorius
Lineage: Eukaryota; Viridiplantae; Streptophyta; Magnoliopsida; Malvales; Malvaceae
Description: bta-miR-24
Source: RNAcentral
AGUUUGUAUUUUUUUUUUUG